AAGUCGUAACAAGGUCUCCGUAGGUGAACCUGCGGAGGGAUCAUUAAUAGUCACGGUGCUGCGGAGAAAUCCCGGUCAUCCGGUUCUAUUACCACCCUUUGUGAACCAAACUCUGUUGCUUCGGGGGCGGCCGUCCCUCUCACCUCGUAAGGGGUGAUGGCGGCGCCCCCGGUGGCCAUCAAUCAAACUCUGCAUCUCUUUGCGUCGGAGUCUUGAAUAGAAUUCAAACAAAACUUUCAACAACGGAUCUCUUGGUUCUG
This 260-nucleotide unclassified non-coding RNA is filed under the name fungal sp. Its description in RNAcentral is "partial internal transcribed spacer region". The stretch from base 1 to 46 matches the Rfam family "Eukaryotic small subunit ribosomal RNA", at positions 1786 to 1831 of the family's 1831-position model. Lineage: Eukaryota; Fungi. The record is from RNAcentral.